Molecule: ribosomal RNA, 422 nt
Filed under: uncultured Glomeraceae
Lineage: Eukaryota; Fungi; Glomeromycota; Glomeromycetes; Glomerales; Glomeraceae
Description: SSU rRNA
Rfam family: Eukaryotic small subunit ribosomal RNA
Source: RNAcentral
GGGAGGUAGUGACAAUAAAUAACAAUACAGGGCUCUUAUGGGUCAUGUAAUUGGAAUGAGUACAAUUUAAAUCCCUUAACGAGGAACAAUUGGAGGGCAAGUCUGGUGCCAGCAGUCGCGGUAAUUCCAGCUCCAAUAGCGUAUAUUAAAGUUGUUGCAGUUAAAAAGCUCGUAGUUGAAUUUCGGGAUUAGUACGCUGGUCGUGCCUUCGGUACGUACUGGUGUUACUGAUUCCUACCUUCUGACGAACCAUUAUGUCAUUAGUUUGGUGUGGUGGGGAAUCAGGACUGUUACUUUGAAAAAAUUAGAGUGUUUAAAGCAGGCUCGCGCUUGAAUACAUUAGCAUGGAAUAAUGAAAUAGGACGUUGAUCCUAUUUUGUUGGUUUCUAGGAUUGACGUAAUGAUUAAUAGGGAUAGUUGGG